Molecule: ribosomal RNA, 460 nt
Filed under: uncultured bacterium
Lineage: Bacteria
Description: partial 16S ribosomal RNA
Rfam family: Bacterial small subunit ribosomal RNA
Source: RNAcentral
CCUACGGGAGGCAGCAGUGAGGAAUAUUGGUCAAUGGCCGAAAGGCUGAACCAGCCAAGUCGCGUGAGGGAUGACGGCCCUACGGGUUGUAAACCUCUUUUGUCAGGGAGCAAAGCGCGUCACGUGUGCCGCUUUGCGUGUACCUUAUGAAAAAGCAUCGGCUAACUCCGUGCCAGCAGCCGCGGUAAUACGGAGGAUGCGAGCGUUAUCCGGAUUUAUUGGGUUUAAAGGGUGCGCAGGCGGGAAGUCAAGUCAGCGGUGAAAUUUCGGGGCUCAACCCCGGCAGUGCCGUUGAAACUGGCGUUCUUGAGUGAGCGAGAGGUAUGCGGAAUGCGUGGUGUAGCGGUGAAAUGCAGAGAUAUCACGAAGAACCCCGAUUGCGAAGGCAGCAUACCGGCGCGUAACUGACGCUGAUGCACGAAAGCGUGGGUAUCGAACAGGAUUAGAUACCCCGGUAGUC